RNAcentral lists this ribosomal RNA (301 nucleotides) under uncultured bacterium. RNAcentral's name for it is "partial 16S ribosomal RNA". It matches the Rfam family "Bacterial small subunit ribosomal RNA", at positions 509 to 808 of the family's 1533-position model. The record is from RNAcentral.
CAGCCGCCGCGGGAAUACGUAGGUCCCGAGCGUUGUCCGGAUUUAUUGGGCGUAAAGCGAGCGCAGGCGGUUAGAUAAGUCUGAAGUUAAAGGCUGUGGCUUAACCAUAGUACGCUUUGGAAACUGUUUAACUUGAGUGCAAGAGGGGAGAGUGGAAUUCCAUGUGUAGCGGUGAAAUGCGUAGAUAUAUGGAGGAACACCGGUGGCGAAAGCGGCUCUCUGGCUUGUAACUGACGCUGAGGCUCGAAAGCGGGGGGAGCAAACAGGAUUAGAUACCCGUGUAGUCCCUGUCUCUUAUACA